Molecule: long non-coding RNA, 253 nt
Filed under: Ananas comosus (pineapple)
Lineage: Eukaryota; Viridiplantae; Streptophyta; Magnoliopsida; Poales; Bromeliaceae
Description: long non-coding RNA (ACOM_LNC022358)
Source: RNAcentral
AGCAACAAAGCUACUCGAAGGAUCUACACCCAAAAUCCAUCAAAAUCCAUUAAUUCACCAAAAUUUCAGCACUUAAGCUUAAUUGUCUCAACUCCAAUGUCAAAACUCACCUAAUAAUCUCCAAUUCAGGUGAGGACAGUCCCAAAUCCAAUAGAGUAUACUAGAGAAUGAUUCUCAGGUCCCAAAUUCUCCUACUUCCAAAGAUAGCAUCAAGAAAAGCUCAAAAUCCACAAUUCUGUCCAAAUACAACAGC